AGAUUGAACGCUGGCGGCAUGCUUUACACAUGCAAGUCGAACGGUAACAGGCCGCAAGGUGCUGACGAGUGGCGAACGGGUGAGUAAUGUAUCGGAACGUGCCCAGUCGUGGGGGAUAACGCAGCGAAAGCUGCGCUAAUACCGCAUACGAUCUAUGGAUGAAAGCGGGGGACCGUAAGGCCUCGCGCGAUUGGAGCGGCCGAUAUCAGAUUAGGUAGUUGGUGGGGUAAAGGCUCACCAAGCCAACGAUCUGUAGCUGGUCUGAGAGGACGACCAGCCACACUGGGACUGAGACACGGCCCAGACUCCUACGGGAGGCAGCAGUGGGGAAUUUUGGACAAUGGGGGAAACCCUGAUCCAGCCAUCCCGCGUGCGCGAUGAAGGCCUUGGUUGUAAGCACUUUUGGCUAGGAAGAAACGGCGUACCCGUUAAUACGGGCGUCACUUGACGUACCUGCAGAAUAACGCAACCGCUAACCGUACGU
RNAcentral lists this ribosomal RNA (484 nucleotides) under uncultured soil bacterium. RNAcentral's name for it is "bacterial SSU rRNA". It matches the Rfam family "Bacterial small subunit ribosomal RNA", at positions 26 to 508 of the family's 1533-position model. The record is from RNAcentral.